Molecule: ribosomal RNA, 1241 nt
Filed under: metagenome
Description: bacterial LSU rRNA
Rfam family: Bacterial large subunit ribosomal RNA
Source: RNAcentral
UGAAUACGAGAUGCUACGGCAUCGAAGCAGUCUAUGUCAUACUUCCAAGAAAAGCUUGCACUGUCAUAAACAAAUAAUGCCUGUACCAUAACCAACACAGGUGGGUAGGUAGAGUAUACUAAGGGGCGCGAGAUAACUCUCUCUAAGGAACUCGGCAAAAUGACUCCGUAACUUCGGGAGAAGGAGUGCCUUAUUUUAUAAGGUUGCAAUAACAAGAUCCAAGCAACUGUUUACCAAAAACACAGGUCUCCGCUAAGUCGUAAGACGAUGUAUGGGGGCUGACGCCUGCCCAGUGCCAGAAGGUUAAAGAAGUUGGUUAGCAUUAGCGAAGCUGAUAACUGAAGCCCUGGUGAACGGCGGCCGUAACAAUAACGGUCCUAAGGUAGCGAAAUUCCUUGUCGGGUAAGUUCCGACCCGCACGAAAGGCGUAAUGAUUUGGAUACUGUCUCGGAGAGGGGCUCGGUGAAAUAGACUUGUCUGUGAAGAUGCGGACUACCUGCACCAGGACAGAAAGACCCUAUGAAGCUUUACUGUAACUUGAGAUUGAAAUUGGACUUUAUUUGCGCAGUAUAGGUGGGAGACGUUGAAAAUAUUCUUGCGGGAAUAUUGGAGUCAUCAGUGAGAUACCACUCUUAUAAUGUUAGAUUUCUAACUUUGUAUCAUUAUCUGGUCAAAGAACAGUCUCAGGCGGGCAGUUUGACUGGGGCGGUCGCCUCCCAAACGGUAACAGAGGCGCACAAAGGUCUCCUCUGAACGUGUAGAAAUCGUAUCUAGAGUGUAAAGGCAUAAGGAAGCUUGACUGUGAGACCUACAAGUCGAGCAGGGACGAAAGUCGGUCUUAGUGAUCUGACGGUGCUGAGUGGAAAGGCCGUCACUCAACGGAUAAAAGUUACUCUAGGAUAACAGGCUGAUCUCCCCCAAGAGUUCACAUCGACGGGGAGGUUUGGCACCUCGAUGUCGGCUCAUCGCAUCCUGGGGCGGUAGUACGUCCCAAGGGUUGGGCUGUUCGCCCAUGAAAGCGGUACGCGAGCUGGGUUCAGAACGUCGUGAGACAGUUCGGUCCAUAUCCGGUGUAGGCGUUAGAAUAUUGAGAGGAGCCUUCUUUAGUACGAGAGGACCGAGAAGGACAUACCUCUGGUGUACCAGUUAUCGUGCCAACAGUAAACGCUGGGUAGCUAUGUAUGGAGAGGAUAACCGCUGAAAGCAUCUAAGUGGGAAGCCCACCUCAAGAUAAGUAUUCU